RNAcentral lists this transfer RNA (73 nucleotides) under Ornithinimicrobium laminariae. RNAcentral describes it as "Ornithinimicrobium sp. Arc0846-15 tRNA-Lys". It matches the Rfam family "tRNA". Rfam says of the family: Transfer RNA (tRNA) molecules are approximately 80 nucleotides in length. Their secondary structure includes four short double-helical elements and three loops (D, anti-codon, and T loops). Further hydrogen bonds mediate the characteristic L-shaped molecular structure. tRNAs have two regions of fundamental functional importance: the anti-codon, which is responsible for specific mRNA codon recognition, and the 3' end, to which the tRNAs corresponding amino acid is attached (by aminoacyl-tRNA synthetases). tRNAs cope with the degeneracy of the genetic code in two manners: having more than one tRNA (with a specific anti-codon) for a particular amino acid; and 'wobble' base-pairing, i.e. permitting non-standard base-pairing at the 3rd anti-codon position. RNAcentral also lists the same sequence under 1 other name. The record is from RNAcentral. Lineage: Bacteria; Bacillati; Actinomycetota; Actinomycetes; Micrococcales; Ornithinimicrobiaceae.
GGGCCUCUAGCUCAAUGGUUAGAGCUGCGGACUUUUAAUCCGUAGGUUCCGGGUUCGAGUCCCGGGGGGCCCA